Molecule: ribosomal RNA, 329 nt
Filed under: uncultured eukaryote
Lineage: Eukaryota
Description: partial 18S ribosomal RNA
Rfam family: Eukaryotic small subunit ribosomal RNA
Source: RNAcentral
CCCUUCGAUGUUCGGAGCUGCACGCGCGCUACACUGUGGGUGGCAGCAUGUUAGCUUGCCUCGCUCGCAAGAGUGGGGUAAUCGUUUGAAAAUCCCACGUGAUUGGGAUAGGGACUUGUAAUUAUUUCCCUUGAACGAGGAAUCCCUAGUAAGUGCAGGUCAUCAGCUUGCGCUGAUUACGUCCCUGCCCUUUGUACACACCGCCCGUCGCUACUACCGAUUGGACGUUUUAGUGAGGAUUUUGGACUGAGCCAAUGGUGGUUCACACCACUGUUGUGCAUGGAAAGAUCUCCAAACUUGAGCGUUUAGAGGAAGUAAAAGUCGUAACA